This 398-nucleotide ribosomal RNA is filed under the name uncultured Actinomycetes bacterium. RNAcentral's name for it is "bacterial SSU rRNA". It matches the Rfam family "Bacterial small subunit ribosomal RNA", at positions 39 to 435 of the family's 1533-position model. The record is from RNAcentral. Lineage: Bacteria; Bacillati; Actinomycetota; Actinomycetes.
GGGAACCUGGCGUGCUUUAACGUGCAAAACGAGCGAUGAGAUCACUUCGGUGAAGGAUUAGCGGCGAACGGGUGAGGAACACGUGAAGAAUCUGCCUUCAACUCUGGGAUAACUCCGGGAAACCGGGGCUAAUACCGGAUAUGAGCCUUGAUCGCAUGAUCGGGGCUGGAAAGUUUUUCGGUUGAAGAUGACUUCGCGGCCUAUCAGCUUGUUGGUGAGGUAAUGGCUCACCAAGGCGACGACGGGUAGCCGGCCUGAGAGGGCGACCGGCCACACUGGGACUGAGACACGGCCCAGACUCCUACGGGAGGCAGCAGUGGGGAAUAUUGGGCAAUGGAGGAAACUCUGACCCAGCGACGCCGCGUGCGGGAUGAAGGCCUUCGGGUUGUAAACCGCUU